UAGGGAAUCUUCGGCAAUGGACGAAAGUCUGACCGAGCAACGCCGCGUGAGUGAAGAAGGUUUUCGGAUCGUAAAACUCUGUUGUUAGAGAAGAACAAGGACGUUAGUAACUGAACGUCCCCUGACGGUAUCUAACCAGAAAGCCACGGCUAACUACGUGCCAGCAGCCGCGGUAAUACGUAGGUGGCAAGCGUUGUCCGGCUUUAUUGGGCGUAAAGCGAGCGCAGGCGGUUUCUUAAGUCUGAUGUGAAAGCCCCCGGCUCAACCGGGGAGGGUCAUUGGAAACUGGGAGAAUGGAGUGCAGAAGAGGAGAGUGGAAUUCCAUGUGUAGCGGUGAAAUGCGUAGAUAUAUGGGGGAACACCAGUGGAGAAGGCGGCUCUCUGGUCUGUAACUGACGCUGAGGCGCGAAAGCGUGGGGAGCAAACAGG
Molecule: ribosomal RNA, 429 nt
Filed under: Gemmatimonadota bacterium
Lineage: Bacteria; Pseudomonadati; Gemmatimonadota
Description: Gemmatimonadetes bacterium partial 16S ribosomal RNA
Rfam family: Bacterial small subunit ribosomal RNA
Source: RNAcentral